This 253-nucleotide ribosomal RNA is filed under the name uncultured bacterium. Its description in RNAcentral is "partial 16S ribosomal RNA". It matches the Rfam family "Bacterial small subunit ribosomal RNA", at positions 524 to 776 of the family's 1533-position model. The record is from RNAcentral.
GACAGAGGGUGCAAACGUUGUUCGGAAUUACUGGGCGCAAAGCGCGUGUAGGCUGCUUCGCAAGUCGGAUGUGAAAGCCCUGGGCUCAACCCAGGAAGUGCAUUCGAAACUGCAGAGCUGGAGUCCUGGAGAGGAAGGCGGAAUUCUCGGUGUAGAGGUGAAAUUCGUAGAUAUCGAGAGGAACACCGGUGGCGAAGGCGGCCUUCUGGACAGUGACUGACGCUGAGACGCGAAAGCGUGGGGAGCAAACAGG